AGUAGUUAUCUCCAGAAUCCAACCUGGCAGGUAAUCUGAAGCAGCCAAUUUACGUUGUACUGAUUCAGUCAUCUGCUAUAGUGCUGAUUCUCUCGCUGUCCUUUCUGAACCUAAUAUGCUGUGUACACUCAAUUCCUGAUGUAAAAACUUGAGUCAGUGUCUUAUACAGGUCUUGGUAGAAAUAUCCUUUAUUAAGAUAUUUACAUACAGAUGUUCUGUUGAUUUGCCACAAGAAAAAGUUCUAAAGCCUCCGUUGAUAAUAAAAUCUCCAAACUGGAAAAACUCCAGCAUGCUUAGCAGUGCACAGAUUCCCAGCUGCAUGAUUAGUGUGCCGGAACAUGGUAAAUAACAUGCUGUGGGACAUAGCGAUGCAGUUUUAAGUUUCAUCAGUUACCAGUUUUGUUAUACAUGUUCCAUAUUACACUUGCACUUUACUAUGUUAUUACUAUUAUGUAGUUUUAAAAUUGUCUUAUUUGAGUUAUAACUCACUGAAAUCUUCUUCCUUCAAUUGUAUAUUUCAAUUUCCAAUUAAUAGAUUUACCAGAGUGUUUAAUGCUAAAAACUUUUUAUAAUGAAAGGUCUUACAUUUGUUAUAAAAAUCAGGGUGUCUGCCAUCUUUUGACUAAUCUUGCGGCGUAUUGUAACUCAACUGAUUCGGCGUACGAGUUAGCUGAAGGUGAUGAUUUUGGUAACGAGACAGAGAUGCUUGACUCACUAGACACAGAUAUGGAUCUUAGAACUGCUGUUUUUGGCAAGUGCACGCAUGAAUUUCAAUCUGAAGCACAUCCUGGAGAAAGUUCUUCAUUAACUUUUCCUGCACAAAAUCUCCUUUAUGGUUCUGCUGAAGGUAUAGUAGGUUCAUUGCAACAAUAACACAACUAUUUCAUGGCUCGAUGAAAAUUAUAACGAUGAAUGAACACUAUGCUGUAAAUAUAAGAAUUAUGAUUUAAUUCUUCAUGCAAUAGAAGUUUUGCCUUGUAAUACUACCAUCUUUCUAGUGAGUGUAUUUCUAACUGUUAUUUGCACUGGACAAGAGGGAAGCAGGGUGGUACAGAGGGAGGGAGGGAGGGAGGGAGGAAAGGUUAAAAGGAAGGUUAAGGUACGAGGGAUGGAGGGAGGGAGGGAGAGAGGGAGGAGGGGAAAGGUACCAAUAAGUAAAACUGUUACCUACAGGUUUUGUCCACUCCCUUAUGCUGUUGUGAUAUGUUUGUACAGAUUUCUUUCGAGGCUGCUUUGAGUGCACACUGCUUUAACUACAAUUCUACCCAAAUCACUUGUAUGGUGUUGAUAAUACAUACAGUAUACUGAUGUGCAAACUUGGCAGAGACUGUUAGCCAGCUGUCUGCUUUAGGCAUUAAAGACGUAAGCUGUGUAAAAUAACAAUUCUGAAACAUCAUUGUCUAAGUGGAGCAUCUCUUACACUUAUUCUGCAUUUGAUUUAAUGAGUAAAUCAUUUCUUCAAUAGCUUACUGAAAUGAUCUUGAAAAUUGAUUUAAUUUACUUAGAUACCUUGCCUCUAGUUGCUUAUUUUACGUAGAUAAUGAUCCAUCAUGGAAAAUUGUACUUGAAAUACAUAUUUGCCUACAUAAAUAAUGGUUAGAAUGUUCUCACACUAACUAAUUUGCUUUAUUGCUAGAUAAUUAUUUAAGAGAAGAGGAUAAUAUAGGCGUAUUACGAUCAAAGUGGCAAGUAGAAGGAUACCUCAAUAUGCAAGCUGAUUAUCUUGAGAAGUAAGUUAAGUUCAAUACUUUCCUAGUGAAUACAUACCGUUGAUCAUGUAGUGACAUGUAUUCUGUACAGGGAUGCCAGUUCAUUUCCUUUGAAUUCAUUUAAUGCUGUUCUAACGCAGCUUCAAAAGUUAGCUCCAGAGUUUCACCGUGUAAGUUGCAGGACUGGACAAGGAUACUAUGCUUCCUUUCCAUCUCAAUUUUUUUGUAAACAUUUAUGCCUUUCGAUUAUUGAUUGGGUGCAUCAUACAUUGCUAGUUUUAUGUAGUGUAGUCUAUUUGAUUGUCCUGCAGGCUCGAUACUUGCAGUACCUGAAUGCUCUUCACCAUGAUGAUUAUGUUGCUGCACUGGACAACCUUCAUGGCUAUUUUGACUGCAGGUAUGGUCUCGCAUUUAUAAGGCACAAUAGUAAUGUUAAGGUGGGUUUUGCCUUUCGUCUAUGUCAUUAUUCUAAACUCUAAAAGUACCAUUGGCAUAGCAUAUAUGACAUCCUCUUUAUUUUAUUGACGAUGAAGGUUUGUUUAUGUUCUAUAGCUUUGUGUUCUAGUCGAUUCUUAUUAUUCCUAAAUUUCUAGCUUUUGUCAAAAUAACAUACUUGCAACAUAGUUGGGACGCAUUUAAAGAUGACCAUGUCUAUAAUAUCUGUUUUGUAGAAAUAGAACUUCUAUAAUUAAAAUAAAUGUAAAUAGCUGUUGCUAUAUAUUUUUGUAGCAAGUCCUUUGUCCUGUUCUAAUAUCAAUGAUUGGUAAUUGUUAAAUAUUUGAAACAUUUGAAGUGUCCAUAUUCCAGUGAAGAAAUUCAUACAAUAUCAAUUGUUUGCUUCGUUAGAGACUUUAAGAGUAUUAUCAAAGCUGGUAAGAGUGGAUGCUCGCAGUUGAUGAUUUCUAACAGUAUUAGACUGCAAUGAAAAUUUUUAAAGGUUACCGCAAACUAAAUAUUUGAACAGUUUGUAAUCAGUGAGAAAGUCAUAGAUUUGUUCAUAGUAAAUUAAUACCUUUCCACAAAACUAGCAUUAGAGAGCCUAUCUUAUGUAUUAUAUAACCAAAGAAUCUCUUGGUUGUUAUGCUAUUCAAAAAAUGUUGAAAUGGAUGGCUUUGGCACAUUGGAAAUCCAAUAUGAUUAUUGAAGUUAUUCAUACACUAGAGAAUUCCAAUGUGAGAUAUUACCGAGCAUGGGAAACCUGCUCAUUUAUGAAGUGAAAAUUAUGCUUAACCUCUUUCAACAGAAAUAAGUUCUGUUGAUCAAAACACAAUUCGUAAUGGCAUUAGAUGCAUAACUAGAAUUAAUUGGAAGCACGGCCUUUUAAAGAAAGUAUACAACUUGAACAGAGAUGCAAAAUACCAAACCACUUGAUUAAGAGUACCUUGCUUCAGUGCUGCAGCCUACACAGGCAACACCUACUCUGCAGGAAAGAGAUGAAUCUCUAUCUAUAUGCACUUUCUCAAAUACAGUAGGUAGUAUUUGAAUACUGCAUGAUUAACUAACUAAUGGUUUUUGUUGAAAAUGAAAAACUCCCACUAAAUCCUUUCCAUUGUUCAACUAUUUUUAUUUCUAACUUUAUUCCUUGGAUUCCUAUAGUGCAGGGAUGGAGGGGCUUUUUACUCGUUCAUCUUCUCCUCGCUCUGAUAUUCUUGUUGGAAGAUAUGAGACUGCUUUACUAUGCUUAGGCACCAUGCACUCUCAUUUUGGGCACUCUAAGAAAGCCUUAGAGGUGAUUUGUGUGUGGAAAUUUUUCUUGCUGCUCUCUCUCUCUGUGCGCGCGCGUGCGCGUGUUCUCUAGAUUUUGAUCAUUUUUUUGCAUUUGCUUUGUUUAUGCGUUCGUUGUGUGCAGACAUGCGUGUGUGCGUGUUCUUUGGAUUUUGAGCAUUUUUCAUGCAUUUGAUUUGUUUUAACUUAUUCUUGCUUUUUUGAACUCCAGGCUCUAACUGAGGCAGUACGUGUUUCUCAACAGGUAAUUUAUCAAUGCUUGGUUAAUCUGGUUUUGGCAUAGUUUAUUGGAUUUAUUCAUGCAGGCAUUCACUGUUAGGAGUUUUACACUGCAAGAUACUUUAUAGCAUCUUUUUUGUAUCAUCUGUAGUCUCUGUUACUGGUUAUGUAAAAUGAAGUCAAUAUAUGAACCUGGUGUCAAUAUUUGGUUAUGUAUGAGCCAUGACUUUUGCCGUAGUGGAGCAAUAAAGGAAGAUCUGAGUAUGAAGUCUAUGCUUGUUCCUGUCGUACGUAUCCUCUACGUUUCUAGUUUGGUGUAGUCAUCUGAUCCUCUCUGGAACUUUCAGACUCAAAUUGGAAGCUAAUUUUAGUCCAAAGUCUUAAGGGUGCCACAUACCCCCUAUAGGAAAUCUGCAAUCCUUUAUAGGCUAUUGGUUGGCCUCUCAUUGACAAGAUAAGCCUCCAGAACAUAGCUGAAUAUAGCUGCCUCUUUCAUUUACGAGGUAUUGAACACCAAGUCUUUUGAUCUUAUCACUUAUAUUGGAUAAAAUUUUGGGUUUUGGCUCUUUUGUAGCCUUUGGUUUUUGGUUGAAAUGGACUUGAGUUUCAAACUGUACAAUAGCGUCAAAAGCUAUCAUUUACAAAAUGAUGAUUUUAACGUGGGAUGCCAACCUGGUUGGAUUUGGGGCGAGUUUUCAAAAAAUCCAAAUCCAAACCUGACAACCAAAACCUAAACCUGAAUUUGAACCCGACAGAUUUUGCAAAUCCAUAUUCAAGACCAAACCCGGCCAAAAACCUGAAACCCGAAAUAAUUUAUUUCUCUUUACCAUAUUUCAAAGUAUAUAAUAUUAAAAUUUAAAAUUUCAAAGUACAAAUUCAAAUAUAAAUCAAAUAUUCAUAUUUAUUAUAUCAUGAAAAAUCUAUUUGGAUUGGUGUCAGGUACAGACAAAAUCCAUGCCUCUUCGGGUUUGGAUAAAAUUUCGGAUAUCCAUACCCAUUGACACCCCUAAUUUUAACUUUUAUAUGUAUCAUCUUUGUUGCUCAUGUGUAAUGUAUACUAAAUUAUAAGUGGUACUUGUGAAGUUGCUUAACGAGGUUGUGCUCUGGAUUGAUAAUUCAAUCCCCAUUGCAAUAUCUUGAAUAUGCUUCUGUACUUACACUUUCUGGACAGUAUUCUCCCACUCAUGAAACACAAUUGUUGCAUUUUGGUGAAAAUUAUCUUAUGGCCAUACUUAAAGAUUUUGUUUUGUUUAUGAGAUUGCAGCUCUGACUGUGCCACUUCUUUUGCAGAACAAUGAUGAUUCGUGCCUUGCCUUUACACUAGCUGCUAUUUGCAAUCUAUUAUCUGAGAUUGGCAUUUCAAGCAGAAUUGAGAUAAUUGGUUCUCCUUUUUCUCUUGGGACUAGUACUGGUCUCGGUACACCAUUGUCCACCCAGCAGCAAUUACUAGUUCUUUUGAAACGGUCACUCAAGAGGGCUGAUAGCCAGAAACUAACAAGUCUAUUGGCCUUUAACCAUCUUGCUCUUGCAAAAUUUGAUCUAAAGGUAAAUUUAUAGAAACUGCUUAUAAAUUUCUGUCUUUGGUGAUAUGAUAGUAACUUCGGUAGUAAGUUUACAAUUUACAUACACUUCAUCUUAUCAAUCAGUAUGAUUGGUAUGAUGAGAAGCACAAAUUGGACUCAUGGAUUUUAUGGGGUUACAGCUGAUCAAGUUGUAGCUUGAUUAAAAUCCAUAGGAAAGAAAGAUUUUGUCAAAAGUGUUUGUUCUCAAUUAUCAAGAGUUUGAUACUCAGGUGAGCAGGUGUACUGUUGUAGUUAAUAUGCGUUGUUACUGUUCCAACUGGUUCAUCUUUUCUUUUUUCCAAAUCAUGUAGUUAUUUGACUUUUCCUCCUUUCUGCAUAUGUUGGCUUCUCAGCACGUUAAAAGACCAUUGCUGUCUUUUGGUCCGAAAGCUUCCACAAAGCUUAGAACAUGCCCCAUUGAAGUUUGCAAGGUACAUGGGUAAAUCUCUUUGGCUUAUGCUUCUAGGUUAAUGAUAAAUAGAGGGUAUCUUCAGAUUUUGAAGUAGUUAUUACUUUUGAUGUGUUCAUCUUGCAGGAGCUACGGCUUAGUUCUCAUGUGCUGACUGAAUUUGGAUCAGAUGGCUUAUCAUUGUUAAGUGAUAAUGGUGUUUUUAGCACCUCAUGGACUAAGAAUCUUGCAGCUGUUAAUAAUUUGUGGCUUGCAGACGCAAUAAAGUCAAAAUGUUCAUCCGUAAAUGAUUUUGACAUAUUCCAGUUUCUUGCACAGCCAAGUCCUGUACCUAGGUCUGUUCUACAAUUAGCUGGUUCAUCGUAUUUGUUAAGAGCUACUGCUUGGGAACAUUAUGGAAGGUACAUUCCUGUUCUCAAAAUAAUAUUAUCGUGAUUGGCUCACAUAUGGCAUCCGUUGUUUUAACUAUCUCAUCAAUUAAAAUCUUUUGUUAUUACAUAUAUUGGUAAAUUUUGUUAGGGAUCUCUCUUCUCAUGGGAGAUAUGACUCAUGUUGGUGCCAUACUAUAUUAGCUGAUCCUUUGGUGCCUAUUUUACAUAAUCCAAUAAUACCAUAGAUUUUCACUUGUCUUCCUUUUCUUUCUCCCUCUUCAGUGCCCCACUGGUUCGAAUGAAUGCGUUGGUUUAUGCAACCUGCUUUGCCGAUGCUGCAAGGUAAAAAGAUGCUGACCUGUUUUUCAAUUGUUUCUGAACAGUUUUACACCUUUACUAUUAUUCUGCUUUGUUCUCAUUGAAGUCAUCCAAGUGAUUUGGAUGUUUAGGAUGAAAAUGACAUUGUUUUGGUGUUACAGUUCAUCAGAGUUGUCACUAGCGUAUAUGAAACUAAUUCAACAAUUGGCAUGUUUCAAAGGAUAUUCAGGUCAGUUAGUAUGUGAUUAACGUAAUUUUUGCAAUAUGCAUUUUUUCGUCUCCCUGACCUGUAUUAUUACUGUUCUGCAACUGCUCUGCGUGGUAGUUUUCUGCAUGAGUCUUGAGACUUGCAUCAAUAUUUUUUCCUCUACUAGAAAAUGAUGGACUAAAAUGAAACACUUUCAAGAGUUUACGAUCUCAAAUUUUUUUUUUUUUUUUUUUUUUUUUUGAGAGAUAGGUAGCACGCUACCCGCUUCGUUUAUUUCAUCUAGAAAUAAACUAAGCUGGAAAUGUGAAUCAACUAGGAUUCGAACUUGGGACCUCGGGUACCAACCACCAAGCCCUUUGCCACUUGCUCUAGGGACGGUCGGUUAUGAUCUCAAAUAUUGAACUUGAAAAUUUGAGGGCUGAAAUGGAACUUGCUAAAAUUUUAGGGAUUAGUGCAAUUUAUUGUAUAAUUAAUCAUAUAACAUGAAAUGCUUUUCUUUCCCCCUUUCUGCAGAAGCAUUUGGUGCUCUCAAGCUUGCCGAAGAAAAGUUCCCAUCUGUAUCAAAAUCACGCAUCCAGCUACUUAAGCUACAGUUGCUUCAUGAGCGUUCGUUACAUCGGUAUGGUUGUUGAAGCUUUUAUUUGGCUUAUUGAUUACUUCCAAAUUUGCCAUUAUACACUAAAUUGAGUCUAAUCCAGAGGACAUCUGAAAUUUGCUCAACAAGUUUGCGAUGAGUUUGGUGUUUUGGCAUCAUGUGUUAGUGGGGUAGAUAUGGAGCUGAAAACAGAGGCUAGUCUUCGCCAUGCUCGAACUCUACUAGCCUCUAACCAGUUUAGCCAGGUUCAACAUUUAUUUCCUUGUCAACUUUGUCUGGGACCCUGCUUUUUUCUAUUCACAAUUGCAAAACUGACAAGAAUGUCUUACCCUUAUCCUCAUGAGUGAUUUUAUUUACCAGUGUAAAUCUAGUUAAUUUCUUACAAGGGAAAUUUAAUUUCCAGGCAGCAGCUGUGGCUAAUUCUCUUUUCUGCACAUGCUACAAGUACAACAUGCAGGUUGAGAAUGCUACUGUUCUUCUAUUACUUGCUGAAAUACACAAGGUAAGAGAAAAUGGUCAUUGACGCUCUCUUUCUUCCUUCCAUCCGUCCUUUCUUUCUUUCUUGUAUUCUUUUUUCAUUUUUUUUAUGAGCUAAUGGGGAGUAUGAACUCCCUACCCAAAGCCUCCCUCUGCCUUGACAUUGUGGUACGAGCUGCUUGCCUAGCUGUUAAAUGUUGUUGCCAAUUUUGUUUCAUGAUGUCAUUAUUGUUAUUUUUAAAUUUUUUCCAUAGAAAUCAGGCAAUACUGUUCUUGGGCUGCCUUAUGCCUUAGCAAGUCUGUCAUUCUGCAAAUCGUUCAACUUCAAUCUACUCGAAGCUUCUGCUACCCUGACACUUGCUGAAUUAUGGUUAUCUCUUGGACCGAGCCAUGCAAGGAGAGCCUUGAGUCUUGUGCAUCGAACUCUUCCAAUGAUUCUUGGUCAUGGUGGACUAGAGCUGCGUGCUAGAGCCAAUAUUGCUGUAGCAAAGUGCCAUUUAUCAGAUCCAAUGUUUUCAAGUAUAUAUCCUCUUUUCCUUUUAGGUAGUGUCUAUGACCAUUGUACCGUAUUUCCACAUUUCGUGAUAUUCUAACCUUUUCUUCCCCCAGUUUUUAAAGAUCCCUCUAUUGUGCUGGAUCCUCUAAGUCAAGCAGCUGAAGAACUGCAAAUCUUAGAGGUGAGUGACCCUUGGCUGCUUCAAGCUUUGGAUGAGAUUCUUUCUUGUUUUUUUAGUGAGUUGUGACUGCCAUGAGACGGUAGUAGCUCAAUUGCUAAAUAGUAAAACUAAAUUUCCGUUUUCUAUGUAGUAUCACGAAAUGGCGGCAGAAGCAUUCUAUUUAAUGGCUAUGGUGUACAGUAAAAUUGGAAUGCUAGGCAAAAGAGAGGAAGCUGCAGCAUCUUUCAAGAAGCAUGUUUGUGCUCUUGAAAACCCAAGGGAUGAAGAAGACUCACUUGCGUACAUGUUUUGAGAAGACCAUGCAUUAUUUAUGUUCCAUAUAUUAUUUUAUUUGGUGCAUAUUAAUUCUGUGCUCUUAAAUGGCCUAGAAAUCAGCAAUAGCCAUUAACCCUAGAGGUAAAAUUGCUGCUGCUCCCCUUUCUGUGCUCUUAAUUUUUGGAUACAUGGAUACAUGUUACGUAUGCUAUCUUUUGCAGCUGAGCUAAUGAUUUUUGGUACUUGUGGUUGUGGAUAGGUUGCAGCAAGUGAGAUGCAAUUGGUAUGGUUCCACUGCACUUUCAUGUGUGACAGCAUUUCCUCGCUGCGCCUGUAAGUUUCAAUUUUCUUGAAGUCAUUUUCUAACUAUACUUCUAAUUAAUUAUGUUGUUUGUAUAUUAUUUUGCAAUAGUCCUGCCUUUUUUUUCCCCACUUUAGCGAAUCCUAAACCACAGAGAGAAACAUCAACAGAAAAUGUGAUGGGACAGUCUACAUACUAAUAAUUAGACAAAAACUUGAUCAUUCGAAUUAUGGAGAAGAAACAUGAAGAUCAGCAAUAAACAAUGUCCAAACUAAAUAUAGAAGAGAACAUGUGGAGAAUUACAUGAUACAACUCCCAACCUAAUUACAACCCUUCGAACGCAAACAAAUCAAAGCCCCAAUGCCAAAAGAAAAGAAAAGAAAAGAAAAGUAAAUAUAGAACUAGAACAUAUAAAACCGUAGGGAAAAUCUAUCACCAAACCUCUCAAUUUCUCUGCACCCAAGCUCCAAACCUUUAAUCUAAGCUUAAGGAGAACAUCCACAGCUUCGGCAGCUUUUAGCUUCAAUCCGACAACUUUGCAUCUGCAGACUGGGUGCACAGGGAAUUUUUUAUAACCAUGCCAUUUGACCAUCCGCCUAAGAAUAGGAUUGAUCUUGGAGGAUUUGUUAGAUUUAUAAUUAUCUCAAUUAGAAUUUGAAUUAAUUUAAACUCUAUCAGUAAGAUUGGGUACAUUCUUAGCCGAGCUUGUACGGCUGAUUAGUGAGGACGUGUGUGGUUUGUUGGCGGCCAUAGAUUUUUGGAUGUAUGUAAAGAAAUCCCCAGCUUUUGUACCGCUGAAUCAGCUGAGAUUAAAAAUUCCGCUCAAAGUCAAAAUUUUCAGUUGGAUCCUACUGCGCAAAAGAUUACUUACUGCCGACAGGUUGAUUCGCCGAGGGUGCCUUGUGGAUCAGCAUUGUAUUUUUUGUGCGGUGUUUUCAGAAAGCUGCGACCAUCUUUUCCGUGAUUGUGUUUUCGUCAAAUUCCUCUUAAUUAGUGUGGGAGGCCCUGUUGUAGGUGAACCGCACUCCGGGGAUGUUCGGUGUUUAUGGAAUGAGACAUUGAGCAUCCCUACUACCGUGUUAAGAUCUAAAUGCUUAACCCGUUUAGUGGCAAGCUGGUGGGUUGUCUGGACCGAGCGCAAUAACACUAUCUUUCGUGAGAUACCUCCCAAUGCUUCUAGGGCUCUUGAACGCGUUGUUGCAUUGACGAAAGAUUGGUUAGAUGUUCCUUGAGUCUUCUCUCGGCCGUCCUGCUCGCUCCGUCCUGCUUGCUCCUUCCUUUGUCUUUUUUUCCUUUUUUCUUAGCUCUUUGCCCGUCUACAUCGGCUUGACGGUGUGUGUAGGGGUGUUUACUACUGGUUUUUGGGUUUGGUUUUUGGUUUUAGUUUUUUCUUGUCGGUUUUUUUAGGAGGCUCUAGCUGUCUCCAACUUGUAAGCUUAGUUCAUCCUACCUAAUGAAUGAAGCAGGUAGCGUGCUACAUUUUUCUCAAAAAAAAAAAGAAUCAGCUGAGAUUUUAUUCUCAAUAGCACAUCUAAGGAAAAGGGAAUCGGGGAAUGCCAGAGACAUUCGAAAGGAAACUGAAGGUCUCUAGGAUGAUGAAGAGAAGACCAGACAGGGAAUAUUGAAAAAUCGCCUUUAGAAGUGUGAAUCCAAACAAGAUUGUCCGCCUGCUCUGGCUGUUUAAUCGUGGGACCGUCGAAGGAUUUCUGCUACUACAUCAGGUAGGUGGGUAUACUUAGGUCUCUUCGAGCUUUUGCUGAAGAGAUGGAUUUAUAAUAACAAUGCAAUUUAAUGCUUCUACUGUGAAAUAGUAACAAUAGGUAUGAAGAGAUGGAUUUAUAAUUAAAAAACAAUUUAAUGCUUCUAUUAUGAAAUAGUAACAAUACGGUAUCAACGAUUAGCAUUAGAGCCCGUUGCUGAUUCUUAACCGGAAAUCCAUUCUUAUUCAUCCUAGGGGUGGAAUGAGGGAAAGGUUGAAGAGGAAGGCAAAUGUUUCCUACCUAAGCAAAUUAUGCAAAAAGAGGUAGUACAACCCAGCAAAAAUUCUUGAGAUUUCACAAAUAAAACACCCUAAAAUAUAACAAAAAGCUAUUCACGAGAACUUAUCGGGGCAGUCGAUCUCCAACCACAUAGUUGUGUUGUUCUCUGGCUUUUAGACAUUAUUAAAUCCUUCCUUCUGAUAAUGAGCGGGAGGUGUCGAUACCAUAGCAGCUGAUGGUGGCACCGGAGUGCUGUAGACUUGCGAGCGCACUUCGGCGUACAUCUCCUCCCUUCCCUUCGCCUUACCGAGGAAGUAGCACCCGAAGCCAAGCAAGAUGGCUAAGAGAAUAAGAGGAAGAGAGAAAACAACAACAAAUCCCAUCACCUUUUGUUCUCUACGUAUGAGAAACAAUUGUUUUAGUUGAACAAGGAAAGAUCUCUAGAACCAGCUGCGAGGAGAAGUGGAGGUUUCAAAGGUAGUUUUCAUAUUAACACGCAAACAUGCAUAUAAACAGACGAAAUACAGAAGGAACCUUCGUUAGAACGGUCCAGAAGGAUGUUGUCCAGGUCGACUCUCUUAGGCCUGCAUGGCUCUGAUUGACCGUGCGGCUUUACUGAACUUGUUGCCACCUGGCAUGCUCCUCCAUGUUGACUUACCUUUUUAGUAACAGUUCAAUUUGGAUUUAAUUGCUCUAUGUGAUUAUUGGACCUAUUGCGACUAAACGGCAACAUUGAAAUUGCAACAAUUUUUAAUAUAGGGUGAUUAUUGACAUAGAGAAGUGCAUGCUUAGGUGAGUGCAGUAGGUGUUAACAGCCUAGUAGGCCCAGCCCUCUAGUACCCACUGUAACCCAUCAAUUGUAGAAAGUUGUUGGGCCGAGAUGUUGUUAAAUUAGUGUGGGCCAAGUACAGCCCAAUUUAAUUCGGAAUUCUUUUUCCCCUUUUUUUUUGAGAAAUAGGUAGCACGCUAUUCGCUUCGUUUAAUUUAUUUAGAAAUAAAUUUAGCUAAAAAUAUAAAUCAACUAGUAUUCAAUUUUGAGAUUUUUGAUAUCAACCACCAAGUUCUUUGCUACUUACGCUAGGGGCGGUCGAUUCAAUUGCAGAUUCAUAUAGGUAGAACUUACUCACCUUAAGCUCGGGCCUAGACAUAAGUGGGCCUUAGCCCGGUCUGUUGACACUCGUUCGAAACGGUGUUGGCAUGAAUUGAUUUGUCAAGCACUCCGAAACUCUUAUUAGAUGAGCCCAGUUCACCUGAAGGGUACACAAAUAAAAUAAAAUAAAAUUGAGUGCCCAAGCCCAUCCGUUGGUCACUUUUUAGAUAAGAGUUAGUCAUAAAAUAGCGGUGGCAAUCGCUGAACGAAUUUUGAAUUGUGGUUUCAUACGUUCCAGAGUUCAGCAUCUCUAUGAAGGUCUAUGACUCAAUGUGAACAUGAACACGAUUGUCAUUCAGAUUGCAACUCAAGAGUCAGGAAAUUGGAUAAAUAUUUGUGGAUAUUUAUUGGUGGUUGAGUCAAUAAGUUGACUUACUAGGUGGGAUCUGGUGAAGCCUCCUCGACCUUUUGAGUACGUAAGGUUUGGUGUGGGUCUAAACUGGUCGUGUUUUUCCCACUGACCUGAUGGGUCUAGUUUGGAUUGAGCCUUAUCAAAAUCCUUAGUUACGGGAACGCUUCUAGUUUUCGAUCAGCUGCUUAUGAUCUUUAUUAUCUUAAUUCGAACAAGUUCUGCACCCAGCAUCUAGUAAUGCUGCAGAGGGCUCCUUAAACUUAUGCUCGGUUCAAUUAACUCCGAGUCUCAGACAUUUUCAUUUGUUCGUAAACCUUUUCUUCUAUAGAAGAAUCACAUUACAAAAUGGGCUGUUAAGUAUUUUUGGUUCCAAAAGUACUUUUGGGGUUUCAGAGCGUAUCAUCAAGCAGGCACUAUAAAAGCCGGUAAAUGGAGAACUUGUAUCCCGUUAACAUAUUUGGCUUCCGAAGAGUACUAGAGGAAUAGAGUUGUUCUUGGAAGGACAAAUACAUUAGAACUUCCGUCAAAUGUUCUUAGAAGGAAUAGAGUAAUUUAUUUAAUUUUUUUUUUUGAGAGAUAGGUAGCACGCUACUCGCUUCGUUUUUUUAUUUAGAAAUAAACUUAGCUGGAAAUAUGAAUCAACUAGGAUUCGAUGGGACUUCGGAUACCAAUCAUCAAGUCUUCUGUCACUUGUCUUAGGGACGGUCGGUGAAUAGAGUAAUUUAUUAAGUUAACAAAUUAGCUAAGGAACCAGUCGCUUGGUUUGACGAAUCUUUAUGCUAGUACAAAAUUCGGUUCCGUUGAUAUUACUAAGGAAUAAGAAAAAUUAUUUCAGCAGAUUUACUUCUAUAGAUUUAUUAUUAUUAUUAUUAUUAUUAUUAUCAGUUUAUAUCUCAGUUUUUUUGUGACUUCGACUUUGUUUGGGAUUGCGGGAAGGUUGCGUUACGUGCGGUGAGAAACGACGAUGAAAAAAUAUUCUGUUUAUUUUCGUACGUAAUAUUGCGUUCCGCAUAUUGCGGUUAGUCAGUUACGAUAUAUUUUCUACGGUCCUAUAGGAGAACGCAGAAACAUAUUUCUAUAUAUAUUUUUCUCACCUCCAUUCUAUCUAAUAGCGUUAGGUUCAUCUCAAUACUAUACUAAGUCUUAGUAUAUAUUUUAUUAUUAUUGCUAUUUUACUAAACUAUAAAAUAAUUCUAAUUAAUUAUUAAUCUUAUAAGAAGUGUACACAGUAUUUUCUUUGCUUCAGCUAAUUAAGGGCAUUUAAGCAUGCCAUCGAAUGGUAAGGAUAGUUGAGCUACAGUAGUGGCGGACGUUUCUAGUCUCCCACCUCAAAGCUUCGAGUCUCUCGAAAACGAGAAGUUCUACACUGUCACGCCUGCUCCACGUCAUCAAUAAUAAAUUAAUUAUAUUUCUUUUUUUUAAAUAAAAGUAUAAUAAAAAUAUUUUUUUACAAUCAUGAUAGAACAUAUAUCUUUAAAAUGAGUUAUUUGAUUGAUUUGUGACGCCACGUCACUAAUAUAUCCGAUGUAUUCUAAAAUUUUUUCUCGAAAACCUAUUUUUCUGUGGCAAGAAAACAAAGGAGUAAAAAAGGAAAACAAGGACAAGUCAUCUGCCAGUCAAAGAAGGGGCGCGACCAUUAACGUGGAUGUUAUACCUCCGAGAUCACGAGUCCCCAGCUAACGAAAAAAACCGACCCAAACGAACACCUAACCCUACCCUAGACCCGAGCACCUACGCUGCGCCUCGGGAUGCGGUCACCCUUGGGGUCGUUCUAAGCCCUUUGACCGGACACGCGCAUCCAAACCGCUGUCGCUGCAUUUGUUUCAAAUUUUCAAUAUACAAUUUUAAAAUUAUUUUUUUUUUCCAUUUCAUUUAUUUUAUUUGAAAAUAAAUUUAGCUGGAAAUGUAAAUUAACUAUGAUUCGAACUUGGAUCUCGGGUACCAACCAUUAAGUUUUUUUGCCACUUGCGCUAGGAACGGUCGAUAAUUUUAAGGAGAUAUUUGCGCGUUGCAACGGAUCAAUUAUACAGCAAAUAAAUAUAAAAGACUGAAGAAAGAAUAAAUAAUACAAGAAUGUAAGAAGCCAAAGAAUAAAAAAAUAAAAAUAGAAAAAGCUGAAAAAGAUGAAGUAGCAGUUACCGUAAAAUAUGAAAAAAAAAUGUAAGAAGAAGAAAAAUAAGAAUAAAAGUUAUGUUGGCUUAAAUGAGUCAGCAUCCUGCCCUGUGGCGGGAGGCCAUGUGGGCCGAGUCAUGUUCGAAAUUGCGUGAGGCUAGGUUGGGCCGAGUCAUGUUUGAAGUUGCGUGAGGCCAGGUGGGCCGAGUCACAAUCGAGACCCGUGGGCGCUGUUUCUGUACGCUUUAAGUGAAUUGGUUGCGUAUUUUUAACAGCUCGAGCUUUUGGGAUUAAUGGUUAGCGCCAACGAUCCGACAAGUUAGGGGUGAAAAUGGUUAGGAUAAAUUUCGAUACCGGAUUCGAUAGAAUGUGAAUAUAAUUAUCAAAAUUUAGCAUUCGUUAUAUAUUCGAAUCUGAAUUCGUAUUUGAAAAAAAUUUAAAAAUAUAUAGAGGUGAAUAUGAUUUUUUCCUAAAUCUGAUUAUAUUUGACUGUUGUCAUUUCUAAGAGAUAAGAAGGAUAUUAAUAUAUAUUAUAGGAAGGAUAAAGUUAUUUUCUAUUGUGCUUUUCAUUUAUUUAAAUAUGAAUUUCAUAUUAAAAUUAUAUUUAUAAUUAUUAAAAUAUUAAAUUUUAUUGAAUAAAAUAUAGGUAUAUGAGGUUUAAACACAAAUAAGAA
RNAcentral lists this long non-coding RNA (15093 nucleotides) under Ananas comosus (pineapple). RNAcentral's name for it is "long non-coding RNA (ACOM_LNC011392)". Lineage: Eukaryota; Viridiplantae; Streptophyta; Magnoliopsida; Poales; Bromeliaceae. The record is from RNAcentral.